Molecule: ribosomal RNA, 301 nt
Filed under: uncultured bacterium
Lineage: Bacteria
Description: partial 16S ribosomal RNA
Rfam family: Bacterial small subunit ribosomal RNA
Source: RNAcentral
CAGUCGCCGCGGUAAUACGGAGGGAGCUAGCGUUGUUCGGAAUUACUGGGCGUAAAGCGCACGUAGGCGGAUCGAUCAGUCAGGGGUGAAAUCCCAGGGCUCAACCCUGGAACUGCCUUUGAUACUGUCGAUCUGGAGUAUGGAAGAGGUGAGUGGAAUUCCGAGUGUAGAGGUGAAAUUCGUAGAUAUUCGGAGGAACACCAGUGGCGAAGGCGGCUCACUGGUCCAUUACUGACACUGAGGCACCAAAGCGUGGGGAGCAAACAGGAUUAGAUACCCCAGUAGUCCCUGUCUCUUAUAC